Molecule: ribosomal RNA, 786 nt
Filed under: uncultured marine bacterium
Lineage: Bacteria
Description: bacterial SSU rRNA
Rfam family: Bacterial small subunit ribosomal RNA
Source: RNAcentral
UGAUCCUGCUCAGAACGACGCUGUGCAUGCUAAUACAUGCAGUCGAUCGAGAUAGUACUCGGGUGCGAGUAGAGUGCGCACGGGUGAGUAACGCGUAGGUGACGUGCCUAUUAGUGGGGGGACAACAUCGUGAAAACGGUGCUAAUACCGCAUAAGCUAAGUGAAAUUGAAAAAACUUAGGAAAGGGGGCUUCGGCUCUCGCUAGUAGAUCGGCCUGCGUAGCAUUAGCUUGUUGGUGGGGUAAUGGCCUACCAAGGCUACGAUGCUUAGCUGGUCUGAGAGGAUGAUCAGUCACACUGGAACUGAGACACGGUCCAGACUCCUACGGGAGGCAGCAGUAGGGAAUAUUGCGCAAUGGGGGAAACCCUGACGCAGCAAUGCCACGUGAGUGAGGAAUGCCUUCGGGUUGUAAAGCUCUGUCCUAUAGGAAGAACGGCAUUAUGGUUAAUACCCAUAGUGUUUGACGGUACUAUAGAAGAAAGCACCGGCUAACUCCGUGCCAGCAGCCGCGGUAAUACGGAGGGUGCAAGCGUUGUUCGGAUUUAUUGGGCGUAAAGCGCGCGCAGGCGGAUUUGUAAGUCAGAUGUGAAAUCUCGGGGCUCAACCCCGAAACUGCGUCUGAAACUAUAAGUCUAGAAUCUCAGAGGGGGCAGGGGAAUUUCACGUGUAGGGGUAAAAUCCGUAGAGAUGUGAAGGAACACCGGUGGCGAAGGCGCCUGCCUGGAUGAGUAUUGACGCUGAGGCGCGAAAGCGUGGGGAGCAAACAGGAUUAGAUACCCUGGUAGU